GACGAACUUUGGCGGCGUGCUUAACACAUGCAAGUCGAACGGAAAGGCCCUGCUUUUGUGGGGUGCUCGAGUGGCGAACGGGUGAGUAACACGUGAGUAACCUGCCCUUGACUUUGGGAGAACUUCAGGAAACUGGGGCUAAUACCGGAUAGGAGCUCCUGCUGCAUGGUGGGGGUUGGAAAGUUUCGGCGGUUGGGGAUGGACUCGCGGCUUAUCAGCUUGUUGGUGGGGUAGUGGCUUACCAAGGCUUUGACGGGUAGCCGGCCUGAGAGGGUGACCGGCCACAUUGGGACUGAGAUACGGCCCAGACUCCUACGGGAGGCAGCAGUGGGGAAUAUUGCACAAUGGGCGGAAGCCUGAUGCAGCAACGCCGCGUGCGGGAUGACGGCCUUCGGGUUGUAAACCGCUUUCGCCUGUGACGAAGCGUGAGUGACGGUAAUGGGUAAAGAAGCACCGGCUAACUACGUGCCAGCAGCCGCGGUGAUACGUAGGGUGCGAGCGUUGUCCGGAUUUAUUGGGCGUAAAGGGCUCGUAGGUGGUUGAUCGCGUCGGAAGUGUAAUCUUGGGGCUUAACCCUGAGCGUGCUUUCGAUACGGGUUGACUUGAGGAAGGUAGGGGAGAAUGGAAUUCCUGGUGGAGCGGUGGAAUGCGCAGAUAUCAGGAGGAACACCAGUGGCGAAGGCGGUUCUCUGGGCCUUUCCUGACGCUGAGGGGCGAAAGCGUGGGGAGCGAACAGGCUUAGAUACCCUGGUAGUCCACGCUGUAAACGGUGGGUACUAGGUGUGGGGUCCAUUCCACGGGUUCCGUGCCGUAGCUAACGCUUUAAGUACCCCGCCUGGGGAGUACGGCCGCAAGGCUAAAACUCAAAGGAAUUGACGGGGCCCCGCACAAGCGGCGGAGCAUGCGGAUUAAUUCGAUGCAACGCGUAGAACCUUACCUGGGUUUGACAUGGAUCGGGAGUGCUCAGAGAUGGGUGUGCCUCUUUUGGGGUCGGUUCACAGGUGGUGCAUGCCUGUCGUCAGCUCGUGUCGUGAGAUGUUGGGUUAAGUCCCGCAACGAGCGCAACCCUUGUUCACUGUUGCCAGCACGUUAUGGUGGGGACUCAGUGGAGACCGCCGGGGUCAACUCGGAGGAAGGUGGGGAUGACGUCAAGUCCUCAUGCCCCUUAUGUCCAGGGCUUCACGCAUGCUACAAUGGCUGGUACAGAGAGUGGCGAGCCUGUGAGGGUGAGCGAAUCUCGGAAAGCCGGUCUCAGUUCGGAUUGGGGUCUGCAACUCGACCUCAUGAGGUCGGAGUCGCUAGUAAUCGCAGAUCGGCAACGCUGCGGUGAAUACGUUCCCGGGGC
This 1345-nucleotide ribosomal RNA is filed under the name uncultured bacterium. Its description in RNAcentral is "bacterial SSU rRNA". It matches the Rfam family "Bacterial small subunit ribosomal RNA", at positions 28 to 1380 of the family's 1533-position model. The record is from RNAcentral.